Molecule: ribosomal RNA, 2930 nt
Filed under: Shigella dysenteriae
Lineage: Bacteria; Pseudomonadati; Pseudomonadota; Gammaproteobacteria; Enterobacterales; Enterobacteriaceae
Description: bacterial LSU rRNA
Rfam family: Bacterial large subunit ribosomal RNA
Source: RNAcentral
GGGUUGUGAGGUUAAGCGACUAAGCGUACACGGUGGAUGCCCUGGCAGUCAGAGGCGAUGAAGGACGUGCUAAUCUGCGAUAAGCGUCGGUAAGGUGAUAUGAACCGUUAUAACCGGCGAUUUCCGAAUGGGGAAACCCAGUGUGAUUCGUCACACUAUCAUUAACUGAAUCCAUAGGUUAAUGAGGCGAACCGGGGGAACUGAAACAUCUAAGUACCCCGAGGAAAAGAAAUCAACCGAGAUUCCCCCAGUAGCGGCGAGCGAACGGGGAGCAGCCCAGAGCCUGAAUCAGUGUGUGUGUUAGUGGAAGCGUCUGGAAAGGCGUGCGAUACAGGGUGACAGCCCCGUACACAAAAAUGCACAUAUUGUGAGCUCGAUGAGUAGGGCGGGACACGUGGUAUCCUGUCUGAAUAUGGGGGGACCAUCCUCCAAGGCUAAAUACUCCUGACUGACCGAUAGUGAACCAGUACCGUGAGGGAAAGGCGAAAAGAACCCCGGCGAGGGGAGUGAAAAAGAACCUGAAACCGUGUACGUACAAGCAGUGGGAGCACGCUUAGGCGUGUGACUGCGUACCUUUUGUAUAAUGGGUCAGCGACUUAUAUUCUGUAGCAAGGUUAACCGAAUAGGGGAGCCGAAGGGAAACCGAGUCUUAACUGGGCGUUAAGUUGCAGGGUAUAGACCCGAAACCCGGUGAUCUAGCCAUGGGCAGGUUGAAGGUUGGGUAACACUAACUGGAGGACCGAACCGACUAAUGUUGAAAAAUUAGCGGAUGACUUGUGGCUGGGGGUGAAAGGCCAAUCAAACCGGGAGAUAGCUGGUUCUCCCCGAAAGCUAUUUAGGUAGCGCCUCGUGAAUUCAUCUCCGGGGGUAGAGCACUGUUUCGGCAAGGGGGUCAUCCCGACUUACCAACCCGAUGCAAACUGCGAAUACCGGAGAAUGUUAUCACGGGAGACACACGGCGGGUGCUAACGUCCGUCGUGAAGAGGGAAACAACCCAGACCGCCAGCUAAGGUCCCAAAGUCAUGGUUAAGUGGGAAACGAUGUGGGAAGGCCCAGACAGCCAGGAUGUUGGCUUAGAAGCAGCCAUCAUUUAAAGAAAGCGUAAUAGCUCACUGGUCGAGUCGGCCUGCGCGGAAGAUGUAACGGGGCUAAACCAUGCACCGAAGCUGCGGCAGCGACACUAUGUGUUGUUGGGUAGGGGAGCGUUCUGUAAGCCUGUGAAGGUGUACUGUGAGGUAUGCUGGAGGUAUCAGAAGUGCGAAUGCUGACAUAAGUAACGAUAAAGCGGGUGAAAAGCCCGCUCGCCGGAAGACCAAGGGUUCCUGUCCAACGUUAAUCGGGGCAGGGUGAGUCGACUCCUAAGGCGAGGCCGAAAGGCGUAGUCGAUGGGAAACAGGUUAAUAUUCCUGUACUUGGUGUUACUGCGAAGGGGGGACGGAGAAGGCUAUGUUGGCCGGGCGACGGUUGUCCCGGUUUAAGCGUGUAGGCUGGUUUUCCAGGCAAAUCCGGAAAACUAAGGCUGAGGCGUGAUGACGAGGCACUACGGUGCUGAAGCAACAAAUGCCCUGCUUCCAGGAAAAGCCUCUAAGCAUCAGGUAACAUCAAAUCGUACCCCAAACCGACACAGGUGGUCAGGUAGAGAAUACCAAGGCGCUUGAGAGAACUCGGGUGAAGGAACUAGGCAAAAUGGUGCCGUAACUUCGGGAGAAGGCACGCUGAUAUGUAGGUGAAGUCCCUCGCGGAUGGAGCUGAAAUCAGUCGAAGAUACCAGCUGGCUGCAACUGUUUAUUAAAAACACAGCACUGUGCAAACACGAAAGUGGACGUAUACGGUGUGACGCCUGCCCGGUGCCGGAAGGUUAAUUGAUGGGGUCAGCGCAAGCGAAGCUCUUGAUCGAAGCCCCGGUAAACGGCGGCCGUAACUAUAACGGUCCUAAGGUAGCGAAAUUCCUUGUCGGGUAAGUUCCGACCUGCACGAAUGGCGUAAUGAUGGCCAGGCUGUCUCCACCCGAGACUCAGUGAAAUUGAACUCGCUGUGAAGAUGCAGUGUACCCGCGGCAAGACGGAAAGACCCCGUGAACCUUUACUAUAGCUUGACACUGAACAUUGAGCCUUGAUGUGUAGGAUAGGUGGGAGGCUUUGAAGUGUGGACGCCAGUCUGCAUGGAGCCGACCUUGAAAUACCACCCUUUAAUGUUUGAUGUUCUAACGUUGACCCGUAAUCCGGGUUGCGGACAGUGUCUGGUGGGUAGUUUGACUGGGGCGGUCUCCUCCUAAAGAGUAACGGAGGAGCACGAAGGUUGGCUAAUCCUGGUCGGACAUCAGGAGGUUAGUGCAAUGGCAUAAGCCAGCUUGACUGCGAGCGUGACGGCGCGAGCAGGUGCGAAAGCAGGUCAUAGUGAUCCGGUGGUUCUGAAUGGAAGGGCCAUCGCUCAACGGAUAAAAGGUACUCCGGGGAUAACAGGCUGAUACCGCCCAAGAGUUCAUAUCGACGGCGGUGUUUGGCACCUCGAUGUCGGCUCAUCACAUCCUGGGGCUGAAGUAGGUCCCAAGGGUAUGGCUGUUCGCCAUUUAAAGUGGUACGCGAGCUGGGUUUAGAACGUCGUGAGACAGUUCGGUCCCUAUCUGCCGUGGGCGCUGGAGAACUGAGGGGGGCUGCUCCUAGUACGAGAGGACCGGAGUGGACGCAUCACUGGUGUUCGGGUUGUCAUGCCAAUGGCACUGCCCGGUAGCUAAAUGCGGAAGAGAUAAGUGCUGAAAGCAUCUAAGCACGAAACUUGCCCCGAGAUGAGUUCUCCCUGACUCCUUGAGAGUCCUGAAGGAACGUUGAAGACGACGACGUUGAUAGGUCGGGUGUGUAAGCGCAGCGAUGCGUUGAGCUAACCGGUACUAAUGAACCGUGAGGCUUAACCUUACAACGCCGAAGGUGUUU